This 262-nucleotide ribosomal RNA is filed under the name uncultured prokaryote. RNAcentral describes it as "partial 16S ribosomal RNA". It matches the Rfam family "Bacterial small subunit ribosomal RNA", at positions 524 to 784 of the family's 1533-position model. The record is from RNAcentral.
UACGUAGGGUGCGAGCGUUGUCCGGAAUUAUUGGGCGUAAAGAGCUCGUAGGUGGUUUGUCACGUCGUCUGUGAAAUUCCGGGGCUUAACCUCGGGCGUGCAGGCGAUACGGGCAAUACUUGAGUGCUGUAGGGGAGACUGGAAUUCCUGGUGUAGCGGUGAAAUGCGCAGAUAUCAGGAGGAACACCAAUGGCGAAGGCAGGUCUCUGGGCAGUUACUGACGCUGAGGAGCGAAAGCAUGGGUAGCGGACAGGAUUAGAUA